ACUCAAAGGAAUUGACGGGGGCCCGCACAAGCGGAGGAACAUGUGGUUUAAUUCGAUGAUACGCGAGGAACCUUACCCGGGCUCGAACGGCUAAUGCAUAUAUAUGAAAGUAUAUAGUCGCAAGACAUUAGUCGAGGUGCUGCAUGGUUGUCGUCAGCUCGUGCCGUGAGGUGUCGGCUUAAGUGCCAUAACGAGCGCAACCCUUAUUUUCAGUUACCAUCAGGUAGAGCUGGGGACUCUGGAAAGACUGCCGCCGUAAGGUGAGAGGAAGGUGGGGAUGACGUCAAAUCAGCACGGCCCUUACGUCCGGGGCGACACACGUGUUACAAUGGGGGGGACAGCUGGCUGCUACCCGGCGACGGGGCGCCAAUCCUCAAACCCUCUCCCAGUUCGGAUCGAAGUCUGCAACCCGACUUCGUGAAGCCGGAUUCGCUAGUAAUCGCGCAUCAGCCAUGGCGCGGUGAAUACGUUCCCGGGCCUUGUACACACCGCCCGU
Molecule: ribosomal RNA, 496 nt
Filed under: uncultured bacterium
Lineage: Bacteria
Description: bacterial SSU rRNA
Rfam family: Bacterial small subunit ribosomal RNA
Source: RNAcentral